Molecule: ribosomal RNA, 253 nt
Filed under: uncultured bacterium
Lineage: Bacteria
Description: partial 16S ribosomal RNA
Rfam family: Bacterial small subunit ribosomal RNA
Source: RNAcentral
UACAGAGGGGGCAAGCGUUGUUCGGAAUUACUGGGCGUAAAGGGCGCGUAGGCGGCCGCCUAAGUCAGACGUGAAAUCCCUCGGCUCAACCGGGGAACUGCGUCUGAUACUGGGUGGCUUGAAUCCGGGAGAGGGAUGCGGAAUUCCAGGUGUAGCGGUGAAAUGCGUAGAUAUCGGAAGGAACACCAGUGGCGAAAGCGGCUUCCUGGUCCAGCACCGACGUUCAGGCACGAAAGCGUGGGGAGCAAACAGG